Schistocerca nitens (vagrant locust) is the source of this 744-nucleotide long non-coding RNA. RefSeq lists it as uncharacterized. The transcript has 3 exons. The record is from RefSeq and is a predicted model, not a curated record. Lineage: Eukaryota; Metazoa; Arthropoda; Insecta; Orthoptera; Acrididae.
AUCGAUAGAGAAGAUCUUAUUCGCGACGUAUUUUUGCGGCUGAACAAAAAAUUAUCUAUGAUUAGAAAGGAUCCUGGGCGAUUGUGUUGGAGUCGCAAUCCCAGGCCGGACGAUGCACUCUCUCAGCACUUGGUCAAUGCAGCUCGGCAACGACCUUGCUGGCAGCGCAUCGUUCAGCCGCCUCAGGAGGCAGCGCUCCUGCUCCCGUAACUGCAGUCGCUACGAACGAACACCAGGCCCAGCGGUAGAAGGCUGCAUUGCCUGCGGUCCACUCCUGGGUCGGAGAUGGGAGGGCUGUGGCUGAUGCUGGUGGGCCUCGGGGUCUUGGGGCUGGAGAGACGUUGGCUCGACCCCCGACCCAUCCAUGGUGUGGGAGGACCGCCGGCUGGCGGUUCCGGCCAGAUGGCAGAUGGACGCUGGGAGCCUCAGACCACAAAGUAGCUCACAGCGGAGGUAUCUCCGUUUUUCUCUUGCCCUCAUUCUGGCCUCGAUCUGAAUCAUGCGUAACACACUGCUGAAGAAACUUGUUAUGGACGUCUGUGCAGCCAGUUGUUAGGAGAGUAAGAGAGAGAGAGCUUGAGGAGGCUGGGCGCCAGUUAAGGAUGAAGAUGUAUCUCCUUUCGUCUCAGCGAGAAGAGAUGUCUGAAAACUCAAUCACAACCAGACUGUUAAGAGUCACGAUUCACUUCAACUCGCUAAUUUCAUGUUUACCUUUCUUGUAUGAAUCGCAAAUAAUACCUAAAU